AUUGAACGCUGGCGGCAUGCCUUACACAUGCAAGUCGAACGGCAGCACGGGUGCUUGCACCUGGUGGCGAGUGGCGAACGGGUGAGUAAUACAUCGGAACAUGUCCUGUAGUGGGGGAUAGCCCGGCGAAAGCCGGAUUAAUACCGCAUACGAUCUACGGAUGAAAGCGGGGGACCUUCGGGCCUCGCGCUAUAGGGUUGGCCGAUAGCUGAUUAGCUAGUUGGUGGGGUAAAGGCCUACCAAGGCGACGAUCAGUAGCUGGUCUGAGAGGACGACCAGCCACACUGGGACUGAGACACGGCCCAGACUCCUACGGGAGGCAGCAGUGGGGAAUUUUGGACAAUGGGCGAAAGCCUGAUCCAGCAAUGCCGCGUGUGUGAAGAAGGCCUUCGGGUUGUAAAGCACUUUUGUCCGGAAAGAAAUCCUUGGCUCUAAUACAGUCGGGGGAUGACGGUACCGGUAGAAUAAGCACCGGCUAACUACGUG
This 486-nucleotide ribosomal RNA is filed under the name uncultured bacterium. RNAcentral describes it as "partial 16S ribosomal RNA". It matches the Rfam family "Bacterial small subunit ribosomal RNA", at positions 30 to 507 of the family's 1533-position model. The record is from RNAcentral.